Budorcas taxicolor (takin) is the source of this 758-nucleotide long non-coding RNA. RefSeq lists it as uncharacterized. The record is from RefSeq and is a predicted model, not a curated record. The transcript has 4 exons. Lineage: Eukaryota; Metazoa; Chordata; Mammalia; Artiodactyla; Bovidae.
GGCGAAAAACAGCAUUUCGCCAAGUUCCCACCCCUCCAGCAAGGGUGCAGACUCUCCGGCAGGCCUCACGGGCUAGCUUCAACUCAUUACCUCUUCGCCAGGAGGGACGACACCCAGAUCAUUUACAGCGAAAGCUGGUUACCAUGGGGAAAACUUAGAAGUUCUCCUGGUGGGGAACUGGAGCCUCAGCCAACAGCCACAUAAGUCAGCUUUGAAGUGAGUCCUCCAACCCAAUCAAGCUUUCAGAUGACUGCAACUCCAUGAGAAACCCCUCAUCCAGCCAAGGUGUGUAUGUCACUUCAGUUGUGUCCAGCUCUUUGUGACCCCACGGACUGUAGCUCACCAGGCUCCUCUGUUCAUGGGAUUUCCCAGCAAGAAUCCUGGAAUGGGUUGCCAUUCCCUUCUCAGGAGAUCUUCCCAAACCAGGGAUCAAACACAUUGCAGGCAGAUUCUUUACCAUCUGAGCCACCAGCAAAGCCCUUAACUCUUAGUUCAUUUCCUUAAAGAUGAAGCCUCCUGCCCUCGACAGUCUUUCCUGCUUUCCUUCUGCUCAUUUGAAAACAUGGUUGAAACAAAGCCAACACUAACUGCAAAGACAGUACUCUAAGAGAACAGAUGAAGAAGCUGAAAGAAAACAGAGUCCUUCAAUGCUUCAAGGCCGGAAGGCGUGGACUGUUUUAUGAGAGAAAAAUGAACUUACUUAACCAAGCAUUUUUUGUUGUUGUUCUUGUUACAACUUGUCUAUGUAUCCUGGCAUA